GUGGCGGCAGCGGACCGUGGAGGCCGGGUGCAGCCCCGUCGGCUGCGCGCUCUCUGCAGAAAAGGAUUUUCUACGCUCCCCGCCCAUCACUUGGAUCUCGUCUGGGGAGGGGCGGAUUUUUUUUCUGGAAGUACCCUUCUUCUCCACGGUGGAGGAUUUAAGGCUGGGCUCCAAUCGAGGCGGAGGCUGCAGGGCCCGCGGGGCGCCCCCCGCCCGGCGCACGCCUGCCCGGAGCCCGGGAAGGCGCAGCCCUGGGUGGGGGGGCCCGUGCACCCCCGGAGGCGGCAGCGGCGAUAAACCUGCCAGUAAUUUCAGCAAAUGAAACGUGGAACACGUCAAGGCCAGAGGAUGGAAAAGGCUCCAGUUUUGAUAAAAGGAGGCCUGCUUGGCUUGGAAUCCUCUCUCCUGCUGGUUGGGAGAUGCAAAGAUGUUUCCAGAGAGGGGCUGAUGAAUUGAGGGGAAAGAAAUGAGCCCAGUAUGAGUCCCCUUUCAGGGCUGAGCGUGUAUAAAACCAAACAACUUGGAACCGCUCCAAGAGAGGGGAUUAAAGCAACAUGUUAUUCUGAGUGAUUGCUUAAUUUAUUGAGCUGCGGCUGGAUCUGUAAUGAAAUACAGCCCUUGUAACUGAUAACCUCCUGCUGCCAUUGAACUUCUACAAUUAAGGAAUAUUUUCUGAGUUUCUCUGGAACGGCUCUGAAUUUUUAGCCUCUGUGGUAGGGUGCUUCUGAACAUUUGUUUUCCAGGCAAUUUUUUUUGAGUAUUAGGCUGAUGUUAAUAAAUAAGCAGCAUUUUAUUGAGUGUUUUGUGGGAACCAGGAACUUUAUAUACAUUGUUUCUAAUCCUGACACUAAUCCUGUCAAUAUCCAGUGAAAUAACCCCUAUUAUUCCCUAUUUUACAGAUGUGAAGCCACGAGACGUUAGGUCAUUUUCUAGAGUGGUGCUGUCCAAGACAGUAGCUGUGAUGGCUCCUUGUGGCUAUUGAUGUGUAAAUUAGUUAAAAUUAAAUAAAUUUUAACAUUUACACCCUAGGUUGCACUAACAAUGAGUUCAAGUGCCCAGCAGCCCCGUGUACUGUGGCUGAUGGCUACCACAUUGGACAGUGCAGAUAUAGACCAUUUGAAGGUUGCACAAGUGCUAUUGGUCAGCACUGACUUAGAUUUCCUUUUUUUUUUUUUUUUUGAGAUGGAGUCUCGCUCUAUUGUCCAGGUUGGAGUGCAGUGGUGCAAUCUCGGCUCACUGCAACCUCCGCCUCCUGGGUUCAAGUGAUUCUCCUGCCCCAGCCUCCUGAGUAGCUGGGACUACAGGUGCAUGCCACCACGCCCAGCUAAUUUUUGUAUUUUUAAUAGAGAUGGGGUUUCACUGGCCAGGCUGGUCUCGAACUCCUGACCUCAGGGGAUCCACCUGCCUCGGCUUCCCAAAGUGCUGGAAGCUGUGAGCUUUUUCCCAAAGUGCUAGAAGCUCUGAGCCGCCACGCCUGGCCCCUGCAAUUCUUUAAAAAAAAUGAUGGUAGGGUCCCAGGCCCAGAUAAUCUGACUUCACUGUGAUUAAGCCGGGUGGGGACAGGCAUCAGAGGUUUUUCUACUUCCCCAUGUGAUGCCACUGUGCAGCCAGCACGUAGAGCAGCUAGGCGUGAGGACCCACACAGAGGAUGCUGGAAGCAGCUGGUUCAUCUGCCAGGAGAAUGCAGUAUCUUGUGACCAAGAAGUGGGCUUCUCCCAGGGCCACUUCUAAACCACCUCAUCAGAGAGCUCAGGUUCAUAUCCGAGGGAAGAAACUGAAGUGCUUUCUCACACGCUUCCAGCUUGAUGAGAAUCACAGUAGGGAGCUUUGCUUUUCCAAACAGGCUUUGUCACAUGAUCAUGGAAGAAAGGAGAUGCCCACGUAAGAUCACAGAGACAAGGUGAAAAACCCGUAGCCCCGAAUUGGAAUUGGAAGCAUCAGUAUGAAUUCAUGCUAUAUUUUUGUCUUACAAAGUAAAGCAGGUGUUUGCUAGCUCUGUCAACCAUAAAGUUUAGAAAUAAUGAGCCAUCCAAUAGCAGUGAACACCCCAGCACCCAGGUUAUGGUGUCUAAACGCCACUUCCGACUAGAAAUGAGGGCAUGAAGAAAUAACCAAUUCCAGGUCUGAGGCAAGAAAAAAAAUUCAAGAUGAGCCUGGAACAUCUGGUCAUUCCUUGCUUCCUUGAUAGCAAGGAAGGUGAGGGUCACAUUGAAAAGGAUGCAGGAGACAACAUGGAGUGGCUCCCAAUGGGGAGAGUUUGAGCAUCAUUAACAAUAAUGGGCCGAGCGCGGUGGCUCACGCCUGUAAUCCCAGCACUUUGGGAGGCCGAGGUGGGUGGAUCACAAGGUCAGGAGAUGGAGACCAUCCUGGCUAACACAGUGAAACCCCGUCUCUACUAAAAAUACAAAAAAUUAGCCGGGUGUGGUGGUGGGGUACCUGUAGUCCCAGCUACUCGGGAGGCCGAGGCAGGAGAAUGGCGUGAACCCAGGAGGCGGAGCUUGCAGUAAGCCGAGAUCAGGCCACUGCAUUCCAGCCUGGGCAACAGAUCGAGACUCUGUCUCAGAAAAAUAAAUAAUAAUAAUAAUAAUAAUAAUAAUAAUAAUAAUGACUAUAGGCCAGGUGCGGUGGCUCACACCUGUAAUCCCAGCACUUUGGGAGGCCAAGGUGGGCAGAUCACUUGAGGUCAGGAGUUAGAGACCAGCCUGGCCAACAUGGUGAAACCCCAUCUCUACCAAAAAUAUAAAAAAUUAGCCGGGUGUGGUGGCAUACACAUGUAAUCCCAGCUACUUGGGAGGCUGAGGCAGAAGAAUCGCUUGAACCCAGGAGGCGGAAGUUGCAGUGAGCCAAGAUUGUGCCACUACACUCCAGCCUAGGUGACAGAGCAAGACGCCCAUCUCAAAAAAAAAAAAAAAAAAGAAUGACUUUAAUGGAUUGAAACAUGUCAUAUAUGUCCAAAUCUAUGAGUUGACAAUACUUAAAAAAAAAAAAAAAAAGAAAAAUUCAUUUAUCACCAUGGGAGGAUAUUGGAAAACCCAACUCAUUUUGAAAACUGUCAAAGAAAGGGAAAGAAGCAUUUAUCCUUUUUGGUACAAACCAUACUUUUUGGUAGCCAAAUAGUUGAUAAAUUGAUACCUUUUAUAGACAUAUGUCCACUACCAAAGACAGAAUCAUAGAAUUAGUAUGCCACCAUGUUGUAAUAUCUAAUGAAAUAAUGGGCCAGGUGUAGUGGCUCAUCCCUGUAAUCCCAACACUUUCGGAGGCCGAGAUGGGAAGAUUGUUUGAGGCCAGAAGUUCAAGACCACCCUGGGCAACACAGACCUGUCUAUGCAACAAGAUCCUGUCUCUACAAAAAAAAAAGAAAAAAAAAAAAUUAGCCAGGUUUGGGCAUGUGCCUGUAGUCCCAGCUGUUUGGAAGGCUCAGGUGGGAGGAUCCCUUGAGCCCAGGAGGUCAAGGCUGCAGUCAGCUAUGAUUGCACCACUGCACUCUAACCUAUGUGACAGAGCAAGACCCCUCAAAAAAAAAAAAAAAAAAGAAGAAGAAAUUGUGGAUCUAGACAAUGAUCAUCAACAACAGCUGCUAACAUUGCAAAGAGGAACAACCAGAUAGUGUGUGCCUUUGAAUGGAAGUACAAAACCACCAAUAGGAAGUACUCAUACAAAAAAAAAAAAAUCAAACAUCAAUCUAAGUUAUCUCCUAGGCCUAACUACCAAUUUCUAAGAAAUAUAGCGGGAAGAGGAGCACAUGACACUUCUAUGGAGAUGCUAUAACCAAAAUUCAGACCACAGGAAACUACAGAACAAACAAGCCAGUUUCUUCAACAAAUAAAUUGCAAAGGAAGAAAAAGACAAGGGAAGAGAACCUACAGGUUAGGAGAGAUACAAAAGCAAUCCCAACCGAUGGCAACAUUCGAACUUUAUUUGGAUCCUGAUUUUAACUAGCUAAAGAAACCCUUUAGCUGGGCGCGGUGGCUCACACCUGUAAUCCCAGCACUUUGGGAGGCCAAGCCGGGUGGAUCACAAGGUCAGGAGUUCAAGACCAGCCUGGCCAAGAUGGUGAAACCCCGUCUCUACUAAAAAUACAAAAAUUAGCCAGGUGCAGUGGCGUGCACCUGUAAUCUCAGCUAUUCAGGAGGCUGAGGCAGGAGAAUCUCUGAAACCCAGGAGUCAGAGGUUGCAGCGAGCUGAUAUCAUGCCACCGCACUCUAGCCUGGGCAACAGAGCAAGACUCCGUCUCAAAAAAAAAAAAAAGAAACGCUUUAUGAGAUAACCAGAGAAAUCUGAAUACUAACUGGGUAUUUGCUGAUAGUAAAAGCAUUACUGUUAUUAAAUAGUUUUAGGAGGAGUGAAGGUGGCCAAAAAAAAUUUUUUGGAGUUAUACAUUGAAAUGUUUGUAAAAGAAAUGACUGACGUCUGAAAUUUGCUUCAGAGUAAUCUGGGAUGAGGGAAGGGGAAGAGGGCGUGGAUGGAAUAAGGUUGGCUGAGACUUGACUGCUGAAGCCAGGCUUAUUGUACCACACGCUCCGUUCCUAUGUGUGCUUGAAGCUUUUCACAAUAAAAAGAAAAAAGAGGUAAAGACCAGCCUUUUCCUUCCUUUCUCUCAAUGCUUAGUGUGUCCACCCACUGCUGGCAUCUCUGGGACAAGCCUGGGUAGCAGGCUUGAGAUAGAUCUUCACGCAUCCCACCCCCGUCUCCAUGGCAACCAGUGGGGAGGGAAAGCUGCAUCCACAAAGUUCUGGUCCCCACAGGGGUGAGGCCAGGCCACCAGUGUCAUGCCAGGCCCUGUCUUGCUGCUCCCUUGGGAGAAUUCCCACCAGAACUGCCUCCCUGCACCCAUUCCCCAUCCCUCUGGCCCUCCCUGUGUGCCCCCUGAAGAAGUAGGGGCCAGUCAGUGGAGAGAACAGGACUCUCAAUCAGAUCCAGGUUCAAAUUCUGACUUCACCACUUAAUGGCAGGAUCGGAAACCUCCCUGAGCCUCAUUUUUUUUUCAUCUAUAAAAUGGGCAUACAGUUUUAUUUAAUGUUUAAAAAAGGCAGGGGGCACGACUGGGCAUGGCUCAUGCCUGUAAUGUCAGCACUUUGGGAGCCUGAGGCAGAAAGAUCACUUGAGCCCAGGAGUUUUAGAACAGCCUGGGCAACAUAGUGAGACCUCAUCUCUACAAAAAUUUUAAAAAAUAGGCCGGGCACGGUGGCUCAUGCCUGUAACCCCAGCACUUUAGGAGGCUGAGGUGGGCAGACUGCUUAAGCUCAGGAGUUCAAAACCAGCCUGGGCAACAUGGCAAAACCUCGUCUCUACUAAAAACACAAAAACUAGCAGGGCAUGGGGGGACACGCCUGUAGUCCCAAGUUACUCGGGAGACUAAGGUGGGAGGAUCACCUGAACCCUGGAGGUCGAGGCUGCAGUGAGCUGUGAUUGCACCACAGCACUCCAGCCUGGAGGACAGAACGAGACCCUGUCUCAAAAUAAUAAUAAAAUAUAUAAAGCUGGUAUAAUGUGACCUUUGUUGAGUUAGUUGCUCAACACAUCUUUACUAUGAAUGGACAGUGACAAAAAAGGAUCUAGUCUCCAACUCAUGGAACUCUACUCAGGGGUGAGAGGCAAUCUCCAUAGGCCACUGCACCUGGCCUCAUGUUCCACUUUUUAAAAAAAUUAGCAGUCACAACUCCCAGUCAUACUUUUCAUUAACCAGAACAUCUAUACUUUUCAACUAUGAGUAUCUAGUUAUGGCAAUCACACAGGAUCAUUUCAUUUAAUUUAGCGCUCACAUUUCUUAUUUAUUUAAUGUAUUUAAUUUAUUGAGAUGGAGUCUCGCUCUGUUGCCCAGGCUUGAGUGCAGUGGCAUGAUCUCGACUCACUGCAACGUUUGCCUCCCGGGUUCAAGUGAUUCUCCUGCCUCAGCCUCCUGAGUAGCUGGGAUUAAAGACACGCACCACCAUGCCCAGCUAACUUUUGUAUUUUUAGUAGAGAUGGGGUUUUACCAUGUCGGCCAGGCUGGUCUUGAACUCCUGGCCUCAAGUGAUCCACCCGCCUUCACCUCCCAAACUGCUGGGUUACAGGCGUGAGCCACUGUGCCUGGCCUAGUGCUCACAUUUCUAUGAGCUAAGUCACAUUAUUCCCAUCCUGUGGAGGGAGAAGCUUAGGCACAGAGAGGUGAGAUACCUUGCCAAAGGCCACACUACUGGUGUGGCCUUCUGUGGCCCUGUCUUCUGUGCUCAGCCCUCUGUGCAUUGAUGAAGCUUUGAAAUGCCACAGCAGGGCCAGGAAAUCAGUGCUGCCAGAAGACUGAAAAGCUCUCCAGAUCAUUUUCCAAAUGAAGAAACAGUGGCCCAGAGAAGCCAAGUAACUUGACUGGGGCCACAUAGCAAAUGGGUAGCUGAGCCUGUGUUCACACUGCUUGGGGAGAUGGUGCAGGGAAGCCCUAUUCAGUGAGGGAAGCCAACUCUUACUGCCCCCAUGUAAUCCUGUCCUAAAGCAGGGUGGCCAGCCAUCCCAGCGUGCCUAGGACUAGGAGGUUUUUGGGACUGGAGACAUUAGGUGCUAAAACCAGGAAAGCUCUGGGCCAACUGGGAUGAGCUGGGCAUUCCAUCCCAUAGACAGUAAGGUGUCUAAAUGGUUAUUUCCAGGAAAUGAGGCUUUGGGAUGGAGCUGGCUGGCAAGAACCAUCAAGACCCCGUUGAAAGACUAGGGUUUUAUGUCUAUGAUACCCUGGAGAUUCCACCUAUGUGUCACCUCAGUGGACUCCGCGGGGGCCCACGGCCUGGCAUCCUAUUCUGCCCCCAAACAGCUAAAGUGCUCUAAAUCCUAAACCUAAUUGCCCCAUGUCCCAGUAUGCAAACCUAAAUGGUUUCUCAUUUUCCCCCCAUUGCCUUAGGACCAACCAUAAACUCUGCUGGCCCAGGAGACCCUUGGUGGGCUUGCCUCUGUCCACCUGGUGCUGCCUCUCUCUGCAACCCACCCCACCUCACCCCUACAAAAUUCCAAGCAAGGACAGGAUAACCAAAGACUUCUCACUUCACCCCCCUUCACCCACGUAACCUUUAUCUUAGCAUCCUACCCUUUUCUUCCAUGACAUCAGUGCAAUUGUAAUUACACAGCUAUUUGUAUAAUUAGCUGAUUAUUAAUAUCUAGCCUCCCCCACCCCUGGCUAGACUGUCAGCCCACAGGGGCGGGGGUGGGUGUGUGAUGUGCACUGUUUUACAGCCUGACUCAGUGGAGACACAUGAAUGACACUCAAAAGUCACUGAAUGGGCCAGACAUGUGGCUCACACCUGUAAUCCCAGCACUUUGGGAGGCUGAGGUGGGCAGAAUGCCUAAGGUCAUGAGUUCGAGACCAUCCUGACCAACAUGGCAAAACACCAUCUCUACUAAAAGUUACAACAAUUAGCUGGGUGUGGUUACAUGCGCCUGUAUAGUCCCAGCUACUCGGGAGGCUGAGGCAGGAGAAUUGCUUGGGCCUGGGAGGUGGAGGUUGCAGUGAGCCAAGAUCACAUCACUGCACUCCAGCCUGGGAGACACAGCGAGACUCCAUCUCAAAAAAAAUAAUAAUAAAAUGGCUGGGCACGGUGAUCCCAGCACUUUGGGAGGCCAAGGCAGUUGGAUCACUUGAGGUCAUGAGUUCAAGACCAGCCUGGCCAACAUGGUGAAACCCCAUCUCCACUAAAAAUACAAAAAAUUAGCUGAGUGUGGUAGUCCAUGCCUGUAGUCCCAGCUACUCGGGAGGCUGAGGCACAAGAAUUGCUUGAACCCGGGAGACAGAGGUUGCAGUGAGCCGAGAUCAUGCCACUACACUCCAGCUUGGGUGACAGAGCGAGACUCUGUCUAAAAAAAAAGGAAAAAAAAAAAAAGUCAUUGAAUGGCCCCACCAAAGACUGCUAUCACCUCCAACUGGGCCUCCAUCUGAAAUCACAGAAACCCUCCAUAGCCACCAGGGUCUCCACUUCCCAGGCUGCUAUCCAUGAUGUCACAGGAUGGAAAAUGAUCCCAGAAAAAGACUGGCAAAGGGAGAAGCUCCUGGAGGAGGACGUGGAAGGCAGGAUUGGUGUGGUUUUUAAUUACUGUACCUGUUCUGACCACAUUUUCUUAGCUCUGCUCACAUCCCUACUUCAAUAGUAGCUUAGGACAACAAAACAAAAACAUCAGCCCCAGAGUUUGAGACAAGAUAUCUCACUGGUUCCCUCUUUGCCGGUAAUUAACGCUGAAAAGUUUCAAUACUUAUCUUGGCAGCAAAGGUAAUAAUACAAACGCACAGCCAGAUUAUUUGGCUGCUAAUUCUCUUCUUGAUGUUUUCCUUCCCCUUUCCUUAAAUUAAUUCCAGAGUUCUUCCAGAUUUCUCGUUGCUAAGCUAUAAAGUUCCAGGUUUCCGCAGCAUGGCUGCUAAUUGGCAGGGAGUUACCAGGCAGCUCCAAUCAGAACCAGGUUGUUGAAAGGAGCGUCCACACUACAGCUCGCUCAGAGGUUUUGGAAUUUUCUCGCUGACAUUAUGAACCGCAAAGGUCUUUGCCUAACUCUGCAGAACCUGUUUUCUUGAUUUGGCUGUUGGGCGACACCAGACGCCUUGGACUUUCCCUAGGAGGCGUGGGGAGUCCCUGGGUCUCCUGGUUAGGGUCAGUGACAGGGAUGCUCAGAGCACAUUCAUGGCUCACCACAGACAAUGUGACCCCCAACACUGCUGCAGAAAGGGUGCCGCAAGCCCCCCAGGACUGACCUCUCACAUCCAUCUCCCAAGCAUGUUGACAGACUAUCUGGAGGAGGCUGAUGAUACCUCUGAACUUAGGAUUUUAGGGGUGAAGGUCAUAUUUGUAAAGGACUUUAAAACACCCAAAUGGAGGGCCAUUUGGUGAUCUACCUCCAGAAUCAUAAUGAAAACCAUCACCAUGAACUGAGUUUCUACUGUACACCACAAACCAUAUUCUCAUCUGUUCCCAUCCUAAAACUCCCACUGGACCAGCUGGGAACCUGACAGCUGCUGCACUGUUGGUUCCACUUGCCUGCUGCCGUCUUCUAGGAGCAGAAAGUCAUGUGACCCGGGCCUGGCUACUGUGAUUGGCUCUGUGAUGAGCACAUGACAAAGCUGGGCCAAUCAGAAUCUUCCCUGAGACUUUUUUUGCCAGAUAGGAAAAGACUCCCCAACCCUACCGUUGCUAAGCUGGUGCCCAUUGGGAACACAUAUGGAAGGUGCCUGAGAAAUAUAAGAAGCCCCCAAAGAUAUGCAGUCCCUAUGACAAUGCUUGAGCCUUAGAUGCACCUGUAGAGGAAGCCAGAUCUACUUCCUGGAUUUGACAGUUACAGGAAUAGUAAAUUCUUUUACUGCUUAAGCCAGUUUACCUUUGUGUCUGUUGCUUCUUGCUGAAGAGUGCUAAGUAAUGGGGUUACAUAGCUUCUCUGCAUGGUGCCUUGGCUCUAAGGCAGGCAGUUUGCUUAUAUUCCUGCAUAGGGUCUUCACAAUUACCUGGUGAGGCACUCCAUUUUGCACCUGGGGAAACUGAGGCUCAGAAGGGUAAGGGAGGCUUGCCCAGGUAACAUGGUCACUGUGUUCUCAGGAGUUCAAACCUG
This 9549-nucleotide long non-coding RNA is filed under the name Homo sapiens (human). RNAcentral describes it as "non-protein coding MIR193BHG:20". Lineage: Eukaryota; Metazoa; Chordata; Mammalia; Primates; Hominidae. The record is from RNAcentral.